CAGUCGCCGCGGGAAUACGGAGGGCGCGAGCGUUACCCGGAUUUACUGGGCGUAAAGGGCGUGUAGGCGGCCUGGGGCGUCCCAUGUGAAAGGCCACGGCUCAACCGUGGAGGAGCGUGGGAUACGCUCAGGCUAGAGGGUGGGAGAGGGUGGUGGAAUUCCCGGAGUAGCGGUGAAAUGCGCAGAUACCGGGAGGAACGCCGAUGGCGAAGGCAGCCACCUGGUCCACUUCUGACGCUGAGGCGCGAAAGCGUGGGGAGCAAACCGGAUUAGAGACCCCGGUAGUCCCUGUCUCUUAUAA
This 301-nucleotide ribosomal RNA is filed under the name uncultured bacterium. RNAcentral's name for it is "partial 16S ribosomal RNA". It matches the Rfam family "Bacterial small subunit ribosomal RNA", at positions 509 to 809 of the family's 1533-position model. The record is from RNAcentral.